Molecule: ribosomal RNA, 460 nt
Filed under: uncultured bacterium
Lineage: Bacteria
Description: partial 16S ribosomal RNA
Rfam family: Bacterial small subunit ribosomal RNA
Source: RNAcentral
CCUACGGGAGGCAGCAGUGAGGAAUAUUGGUCACUGGGCGCGAGCCUGAACCAGCCAAGCAGCGUGAAGGAUGACUGCCCUAAGGGUUAUAAGCUUCUUUUAUCAAGGAAUAAAGUGAAGCACGAGUGACUUUUUGUAUGUACUUUAUGAAUAAGGAUCGGCUCACUCCGUGCCAGCAGCCGAGGUACUCCGGCGGAUCGGAGCGUUAUCCGGAUUUAUUGGGGUUAAAGGAAGCGUCGCUGGGUUGUUGAGUCAGAUGUGAAAGUUUGCGGCGCAACCGUAAAAUUGCAAUUGAUACUGGCAGUCUUGAGUACAGUUGAGGUAGGCGGAAUUCGUGGUGUAGCGGUGAAAUGCGUAGAUAUCACGAAGAACUCCGAUUGCGAAGGCAGCUUACUAAACUGCCACUGACAUUGAGGUUCGAAAGUGUGGGUAUCAAACAGGAUUAGAUACCCGAGUAGUC